UUUCAGUUGACCAGGAAAACGUUUUAGGUGGACUCUGGAAAUCCAAAUUGCAAUGGAAAGCACAUUGGGUGAAAGACUGGGAACUAAAAAAGAUCUAUGUUCCAAUAUGGCGAAAAGUGUGGGCCCCCGUUGCGGUCAGAGAAUGGAUCCCCUUUCCCAAAACUCCCGUGAAACAAUAAGCGCCAGACCAAGAGAUAUAAAUAACCUGAUAUUGGGGCAGAUGACUGUUUACAAUUGUACUUUGUAUGCUUUACUGUCAACUCUGUCUAAGGAGAAGUUCAAAUGAAGAAUUUGUAGUGAUUGGUUUGAAGAAAGGAUUUUGAAAACUCAAAAUAUUUCCAAAACCUGAAAUGAUGCCAUCUAAUUUAUUUAUUUUUGUGUUAUUUAUUGAAUUGUUGUGAAUUAAACAUUGAUUGAUUCA
Molecule: long non-coding RNA, 421 nt
Organism: Leptinotarsa decemlineata (Colorado potato beetle)
Lineage: Eukaryota; Metazoa; Arthropoda; Insecta; Coleoptera; Chrysomelidae
Source: RefSeq, a predicted model, not a curated record